RNAcentral lists this ribosomal RNA (1251 nucleotides) under metagenome. Its description in RNAcentral is "bacterial LSU rRNA". It matches the Rfam family "Bacterial large subunit ribosomal RNA", at positions 1635 to 2878 of the family's 2925-position model. The record is from RNAcentral.
AAUACGACCGUACCGCAAACCGACACUGGUGCGCGAGAUGAGUAUUCUAAGGCGCUUGAGAGAACUCAGGAGAAGGAACUCGGCAAAUUGACACCGUAACUUCGGAAGAAGGUGUGCCCUAUUAGUGUGAAGUGAACAACGGAGCAUGAAUGGGAUGCAAAAAAUCGGUGGCUGCGACUGUUUAUUAAAAACACAGCACUCUGCAAACACGAAAGUGGACGUAUAGGGUGUGACGCCUGCCCGGUGCUGGAAGAUUAAAUGAUGGGGUGCAAGCUCUUGAUUGAAGUCCCAGUAAACGGCGGCCGUAACAAUAACGGUCCUAAGGUAGCGAAAUUCCUUGUCGGGUAAGUUCCGACCUGCACGAAUGGCGUAACGAUGGCCACACUGUCUCCUCCUGAGACUCAGCGAAGUUGAAAUGUUUGUGAUGAUGCAAUCUCCCCGCGGAAAGACGGAAAGACCCCAUGAACCUUUACUGUAGCUUUGUAUUGGACUUUGAACAGAUCUGUGUAGGAUAGGUGGGAGGCUUUGAAGCAGGGUCGCUAGAUCUUGUGGAGCCAACGUUGAAAUACCACCCUGGUGUGUUUGAGGUUCUAACCUAGGUCCAUUAUCUGGAUCGGGGACAGUGCAUGGUAGGCAGUUUGACUGGGGCGGUCUCCUCCCAAAGCGUAACGGAGGAGUUCGAAGGUACGCUAGUUACGGUCGGACAUCGUGACGAUAGUGCAAUGGCAUAAGCGUGCUUAACUGCGAGACUGACAAGUCGAGCAGAUGCGAAAGCAGGACAUAGUGAUCCGGUGGUUCUGUAUGGAAGGGCCAUCGCUCAACGGAUAAAAGGUACUCUGGGGAUAACAGGCUGAUACCGCCCAAGAGUUCAUAUCGACGGCGGUGUUUGGCACCUCGAUGUCGGCUCAUCUCAUCCUGGGGCUGUAGCCGGUCCCAAGGGUAUGGCUGUUCGCCAUUUAAAGAGGUACGUGAGCUGGGUUUAAAACGUCGUGAGACAGUUUGGUCCCUAUCUUCCGUGGGCGCUGCAGAUUUGAGGAAGCCUGCUCCUAGUACGAGAGGACCGGAGUGGACACACCUCUGGUGUAUCGGUUGUCACGCCAGUGGCAUUGCCGAGUAGCUAAGUGUGGAAGAGAUAACCGCUGAAAGCAUCUAAGCGGGAAACUCGUUUCAAGAUGAGAUCUGCCGGGGCCUUGAGCCCCCUGAAGAGUCGUUCAAGACCAGGACGUUGAUAGGUCAGGUGUGGAAGCGAAA